This 442-nucleotide ribosomal RNA is filed under the name uncultured bacterium. RNAcentral describes it as "partial 16S ribosomal RNA". It matches the Rfam family "Bacterial small subunit ribosomal RNA", at positions 338 to 795 of the family's 1533-position model. The record is from RNAcentral.
GCUACGGGUGGCAGCAGUGGGGAAUAUUGCGCAAUGGGGGCAACCCUGACGCAGCAACGCCGCGUGAUUGAAGAAGGCCUUCGGGUUGUAAAGAUCUUUAAUUGGGGACGAAACAAAUGACGGUACCCAAAGAAUAAGCUCCGGCUAACUACGGGCCAGCAGCCGCGGUAAUACGUAGGGGGCAAGCGUUAUCCGGAUUUAUUGGGUUUAAAGGGUGCGCAGGCGGAAGAUCAAGUCAGCGGGAAAAUUGAGAGUCUAAACCUCUUCGAGCUGUUGAAACUGGUUUUCUUGAGUGAGCGAGAAGUAUGCGGAAUGCGUGGUGUAGCGGUGAAAUGCAUAGAUAUCACGCAGAACUCCGAUUGCGAAGGCAGCAUACCGGCGCUCAACUGACGCUCAUGCACGAAAGUGUGGGUAUCGAACAGGAUUAGAUACCCGAGUAGUC